This 274-nucleotide ribosomal RNA is filed under the name uncultured bacterium. RNAcentral's name for it is "partial 16S ribosomal RNA". It matches the Rfam family "Bacterial small subunit ribosomal RNA", at positions 523 to 796 of the family's 1533-position model. The record is from RNAcentral.
AUACGGAGGGUGCGAGCGUUAAUCGGAAUUACUGGGCGUAAAGCGUGCGUAGGCGGUUGGUUAAGUUAGAUGUGAAAGCCCCGGGCUUAACCUGGGAACUGCAUUUAAAACUGGCGAACUAGAGUUGAGUAGAGGGGAGUGGAAUUUCAGGUGUAGCGGUGAAAUGCGUAGAGAUCUGAAGGAACACCAGUGGCGAAGGCGACUCCCUGGACUCGAACUGACGCUGAGGUACGAAAGCGUGGGUAGCAAACGGGAUUAGAAACCCCAGUAGUCC